ACAGGCUUAACACAUGCAAGUCGAGGGGAAACGACAUCGAAAGCUUGCUUUUGAUGGGCGUCGACCGGCGCACGGGUGAGUAACGCGUAUCCAACCUGCCCAUCACUUGGGAAUAACCUUGCGAAAGUAAGACUAAUACCCAAUGAUAUCCCACGAAGGCAUCCGAAUGGGAUUAAAGAUUUAUCGGUGAUGGAUGGGGAUGCGUCUGAUUAGCUUGUUGGCGGGGUAACGGCCCACCAAGGCGACGAUCAGUAGGGGUUCUGAGAGGAAGGUCCCCCACAUUGGAACUGAGACACGGUCCAAACUCCUACGGGAGGCAGCAGUGAGGAAUAUUGGUCAAUGGGCGAGAGCCUGAACCAGCCAAGUAGCGUGCAGGAUGACGGCCCUAUGGGUUGUAAACUGCUUUUAUAAGGGAAUAAAGUGAGUCUCGUGAGACUUUUUGCAUGUACCUUAUGAAUAAGGACCGGCUAAUUCCGUGCCAGCAGCCGCGGUAAUACGGAAGGUCCGGGCGUUAUCCGGAUUUAUUGGGUUUAAAGGGAGCGUAGGCCGGAGAUUAAGCGUGUUGUGAAAUGUAGACGCUCAACGUCUGCACUGCAGCGCGAACUGGUUUCCUUGAGUACGCACAAAGUGGGCGGAAUUCGUGGUGUAGCGGUGAAAUGCUUAGAUAUCACGAAGAACUCCGAUUGCGAAGGCAGCUCACUGGAGCGCAACUGACGCUGAAGCUCGAAAGUGCGGGUAUCGAACAGGAUUAGAUACCCUGGUAGUCCGCACGGUAAACGAUGGAUGCCCGCUGUUGGUCUGAAUAGGUCAGCGGCCAAGCGAAAGCAUUAAGCAUCCCACCUGGGGAGUACGCCGGCAAC
This 860-nucleotide ribosomal RNA is filed under the name uncultured bacterium. Its description in RNAcentral is "bacterial SSU rRNA". It matches the Rfam family "Bacterial small subunit ribosomal RNA", at positions 42 to 892 of the family's 1533-position model. The record is from RNAcentral.